RNAcentral lists this ribosomal RNA (1172 nucleotides) under Campylobacter jejuni. Its description in RNAcentral is "partial 23S ribosomal RNA". It matches the Rfam family "Bacterial large subunit ribosomal RNA", at positions 1 to 1188 of the family's 2925-position model. The record is from RNAcentral. Lineage: Bacteria; Pseudomonadati; Campylobacterota; Epsilonproteobacteria; Campylobacterales; Campylobacteraceae.
AAAAAAGGUAAGCUACUAAGAGCGAAUGGUGGAUGCCUUGACUGGUAAAGGCGAUGAAGGACGUACUAGACUGCGAUAAGCUACGGGGAGCUGUCAAGAAGCUUUGAUCCGUAGAUUUCCGAAUGGGGCAACCCAAUGUAUAGAGAUAUACAUUACCUAUAUAGGAGCGAACGAGGGGAAUUGAAACAUCUUAGUACUCUCAGGAAAAGAAAUCAAUAGAGAUUGCGUCAGUAGCGGCGAGCGAAAGCGCAAGAGGGCAAACCCAGUGCUUGCACUGGGGGUUGUAGGACUGCAAUGUGCAAGAGGUAAGUUUAGCAGAACAUUCUGGAAAGUAUAACCAUAGAGGGUGAUAGUCCCGUAUGCGAAAAACAAACCUUAGCUAGCAGUAUCCUGAGUAGGGCGGGACACGAGGAAUCCUGUCUGAAUCCGGGUCGACCACGAUCCAACCCUAAAUACUAAUACCAGAUCGAUAGUGCACAAGUACCGUGAGGGAAAGGUGAAAAGAACUGAGGUGAUCAGAGUGAAAUAGAACCUGAAACCAUUUGCUUACAAUCAUUCAGAGCACUAUGUAGCAAUACAGUGUGAUGGACUGCCUUUUGCAUAAUGAGCCUGCGAGUUGUGGUGUCUGGCAAGGUUAAGCAAACGCGAAGCCGUAGCGAAAGCGAGUCUGAAUAGGGCGCUUAGUCAGAUGCUGCAGACCCGAAACGAAGUGAUCUAUCCAUGAGCAAGUUGAAGCUAGUGUAAGAACUAGUGGAGGACUGAACCCAUAGGCGUUGAAAAGCCCCGGGAUGACUUGUGGAUAGGGGUGAAAGGCCAAUCAAACUUCGUGAUAGCUGGUUCUCUCCGAAAUAUAUUUAGGUAUAGCGUUGUGUCGUAAUAUAAGGGGGUAGAGCACUGAAUGGGCUAGGGCAUACACCAAUGUACCAAACCCUAUCAAACUCCGAAUACCUUAUAUGUAAUCACAGCAGUCAGGCGGCGAGUGAUAAAAUCCGUCGUCAAGAGGGAAACAACCCAGACUACCAGCUAAGGUCCCUAAAUCUUACUUAAGUGGAAAACGAUGUGAAGUUACUUAAACAACCAGGAGGUUGGCUUAGAAGCAGCCAUCCUUUAAAGAAAGCGUAAUAGCUCACUGGUCUAGUGAUUUUGCGCGGAAAAUAUAACGGGGCUAAAGU